Long non-coding RNA from Bicyclus anynana (squinting bush brown), 387 nucleotides. RefSeq lists it as uncharacterized. The transcript is spliced from 3 exons. The record is from RefSeq and is a predicted model, not a curated record. NCBI's taxonomy places the organism in Eukaryota, Metazoa, Arthropoda, Insecta, Lepidoptera, Nymphalidae.
CUUAAACUCUUACCUAAUUACAUUUUUAUAUUCGAUUGCUCCUACGCGUUUAUAUUUUUUCUCAAAAUGUUUAUUUUUUAUUUCGUGUUUUUGUUCUUGAUUUGUUCGAGUUCCUGUGACUGCAAGUCACGAAUAGGUUGUCCAUGCGACUUUGUAUCCCGAGGGGAAACCAAUCAUAUUAUUGGCACUUGUAGGAAAGUACAAGACUGUACUUAUGCUAAACAUUUGAUUUAUUAUGACCAUAAAAAACCGCAGACGUGCUUUUUCGAAGAAGACGAAAGAAUAGUCUGCUGCCCGCCUGCUGAUGUCCAUAACUUGAGGAAAUAGUAACAUGCUGCUUUGGAGUCCAGCAACUUCACCAGGCCUCUAGUGAUGAUCCACAGGAAC